GUAUGGUAAUGCAUUUAAGGGAAGGGCCUUCUUGGUGGGCCUCUUAUAAUGUACCCAUGCCAGAGUAAGCUGCAGCCUCAGGUCAUUGCCCUGCCUCUUUACUCAUGGGCUAUGAGCACUGAAGGGGGUUGCACAGUA
Molecule: small nucleolar RNA, 138 nt
Filed under: Carlito syrichta (Philippine tarsier)
Lineage: Eukaryota; Metazoa; Chordata; Mammalia; Primates; Tarsiidae
Description: Small nucleolar RNA SNORA42/SNORA80 family (ENSTSYG00000019696.2)
Rfam family: Small nucleolar RNA SNORA42/SNORA80 family
About the family: The members of this family belong to the H/ACA class of snoRNAs that guide the sites of modification of uridines to pseudouridines. Human ACA42 (SNORA42) was cloned from HeLa cells by immunoprecipitation with anti-GAR1 antibody.
Source: Rfam by way of RNAcentral